This 428-nucleotide ribosomal RNA is filed under the name uncultured bacterium. Its description in RNAcentral is "bacterial SSU rRNA". It matches the Rfam family "Bacterial small subunit ribosomal RNA", at positions 355 to 775 of the family's 1533-position model. The record is from RNAcentral.
UGGGGAAUAUUGGACAAUGGGCGCAAGCCUGAUCCAGCAAUGCCGCGUGGGUGAAGAAGGCCUUCGGGUUGUAAAGCCCUUUUGUACGGGAAGAAAAGCUUCGGGUUAAUAACCUGGGGUCAUGACGGUACCGUAAGAAUAAGCACCGGCUAACUUCGUGCCAGCAGCCGCGGUAAUACGAAGGGUGCAAGCGUUAAUCGGAAUUACUGGGCGUAAAGCGUGCGUAGGCGGUUUGUUAAGUCCGAUGUGAAAGCCCUGGGCUCAACCUGGGAAUGGCAUUGGAUACUGGCGAGCUAGAGUCAGGUAGAGGGUGGUGGAAUUCCCGGUGUAGCGGUGAAAUGCGUAGAGAUCGGGAGGAACAUCUGUGGCGAAGGCGGCCACCUGGACCAUGACUGACGCUGAGGCACGAAAGCGUGGGGAGCAAACAG